This 539-nucleotide ribosomal RNA is filed under the name uncultured bacterium. Its description in RNAcentral is "bacterial SSU rRNA". It matches the Rfam family "Bacterial small subunit ribosomal RNA", at positions 359 to 919 of the family's 1533-position model. The record is from RNAcentral.
GUUUGGCAUGAGCGCCACUUGAAUCCACGAUCCGUGCGGUGGGAUGAAGGAUCUAGGGUUGUAACCUCUUUCAGGAGGGAAGAAGAUGACAGUACCUCCACAAGACGCCCCGGCCUACUACCUGCCAGCAGCCGCGGUAAUACGUAGGGGGCGAGCGUUGUCCGGAUUUGUUGGGCGUAAAGAGCUCGUAGGCGGUUCAACAAGUCCGUCGUGAUUCUUCAGGGCUCCACCCUGAGAUGUCCAUUGAUGCUGUUGUGACUAUGAUCGGUAGAGGUGAGUGGAAUUCCUAGUGUAGCGUGAAAUUGCGAAAAUUUUCGGAGGACCACCUGUUGCGAAGGCUCCUCGCUGGGCCGCUCUCGCCGCUGAGGACCAAAAGCUGGGGGAGCAAACAGGAUAAAAUCCGCUGGUACUCCCAGCUGUAAACGAUGGAUACAAGACGUAGGAACUGUAUUGAUCGUUGCUGCGUCUCACCUAAUACGUUUACCACCCCGGCUGGGGAGUACCGUCACAAUACUACAACCAAAUGAAAUUGGACGGGA